AUUGGAUCAGCUUCAUUCCAGACUUUGCCAGAUGCACAUCACCAAAGGAUAAUUAAGAAAUUUACAAGAGAAAAAACUUGCACAGAAUCGAGAGAAGCGUUGUCUCUCAACAAGAAUAAGAAUUCUCAGGUAUGUGCUUUUGAUGUCAUUAAUGUUAAUAUAUGACAAUGAUAUUAAGACAAUUUAGACACACAUCAAACAACGAGAAAUACAAUGAGGUUGACGGAGACGGGUCCAAUCUUCACCUCGUAAUGGUGUUAUUAGCACUAUCAUAUCACCAGAUAUUUCAACUAUGAGUAUUGUAGGUCAGCGACGAAGAAUUUUAAAAAACCAAAAAUAAAAUAGAUGUGUUAUUUUGGAAAUGAGAGUUGAUGGCGGUGGUAGGGUGAAGACUGCUGUGACAACUCUUCAGUCAAACUGUUCUUUGAAUGUAAGCAUAAGACAUUUCUUGUCUUGUUCUUAUCGUCUUGCCGGGUCAUAGAACAAUAAUUCACGGUUCAAAAUAAUUCACGGUUCAAAAGGAGCACAAUGUUACUAGAGUCUUUGAGUGUCCUAGCAUUAUCAAUCUUUGAUUUUGAACCAACAAAAAUGACCUAUAAUUAAGGGUAUUGAUGGCAUUACCUGCUAAGAAUCCAGGUGAAGCUGACAAUGACCUGUCUUUAGAAGGUUCUCUCGAAGAAGAGCAAGGUUCAGGAAACCUAACUCAAGGGGCGAGUAGAAACUCUAGGUAUUUUAGGGCAUCUAAAAUUCGGAGUAAAGAAGUUGUAUGAUAUCAACAAACAAACAAACUCCUGUAAAUAAACAAUGCUAGC
This 812-nucleotide long non-coding RNA is filed under the name Physcomitrium patens. RNAcentral's name for it is "long non-coding RNA (PPAT_LNC012239)". Lineage: Eukaryota; Viridiplantae; Streptophyta; Bryopsida; Funariales; Funariaceae. The record is from RNAcentral.